CCACAGGCGCUUGGGUCUAGGAUACAGAUUUUUUUAUUUCUUUUUUAUUAAAAUAUUCAAUUUUCUAUAUUUAUAAUACAUAUCUAUCACUUCUGUGUAUCUCUCACCUAGUUUCGAGUGACUUAAACGACCCAGAGAAAAUACCCAAUUUUACUAUCCAUACUAAGAAACAAAAAGGCAACUAACUCGACGCCAUUUUUCUGCUAUCUAUAAAUAAAUAGAUUGACCUACCUGGAUUCCCCAACGAUUUCUCUGGGAAAACGUGCCUUCUUUGCCGUCAGAUCGCACACAUCGUUGAUAUUUAUCAAAUUGGUAUUGUUCGUAACAUUUUUAGUCCAUCUCCAGCAUAUAAUAAAAAGAUUUUAACUAUUUUGACUAAUUUCAAAUUUACGUGCCCGGAAGUUGACUGUUUUUCCCGAACUUUUGUUAAAGGGAAGUAAUAAUUUCC
Molecule: long non-coding RNA, 448 nt
Filed under: Mytilus galloprovincialis (Mediterranean mussel)
Lineage: Eukaryota; Metazoa; Mollusca; Bivalvia; Mytilida; Mytilidae
Source: RNAcentral